AAAAGUCGUAACAAGGUUUCCGUAGGUGAACCUGCGGAAGGAUCAUUAAAGAGUAAGGGUGCUCAGCGCCCGACCUCCAACCCUUUGUUGUUAAAACUACCUUGUUGCUUUGGCGGGACCGCUCGGUCUCGAGCCGCUGGGGAUUCGUCCCAGGCGAGCGCCCGCCAGAGUUAAACCAAACUCUUGUUAUUUAACCGGUCGUCUGAGUUAAAAUUUUGAAUAAAUCAAAACUUUCAACAACGGAUCUCUUGGUUCUUGCAUCGAUGAAGAACGCAGCGAAAUGCGAUAAGUAAUGUGAAUUGCAGAAUUCAGUGAAUCAUCGAAUCUUUGAACGCACAUUGCGCCCCUUGGUAUUCCGAGGGGCAUGCCUGUUCGAGCGUCAUUACACCACUCAAGCUAUGCUUGGUAUUGGGUGCCGUCCUUAGUUGGGCGCGCCUUAAAGACCUCGGCGAGGCCUCACCGGCUUUAGGCGUAGUAGAAUUUAUUCGAACGUCUGUCAAAGGAGAGGACUUCUGCCGACUGAAACCUUUAUUUUUCUAGGUUGACCUCGGAUCAGGUAGGGAUACCCGCUGAACUUAAGCAUAUCAAUA
Molecule: ribosomal RNA, 590 nt
Filed under: uncultured eukaryote
Lineage: Eukaryota
Description: eukaryotic LSU rRNA
Rfam family: 5.8S ribosomal RNA (bases 229-382)
Source: RNAcentral